UUGAUGGCGCUAUCAUGCAGUCGGACGGGAUUUGGGAGCUUGCUCCUGAUGAGAGUGGCGCACGGGUGCGUAACACGUAUGUAACCUACCUUAAUCUGGGGGAUAGCCUCUCGAAAGAGAGAUUAACACCGCAUAACAUCAUCGGACAGCAUUUUUUGAUGAUCAAAUAUUUAUAGGAUUAAGAUGGGCAUGCGGAACAUUAGCUAGUUGGUAAGGUAAUGGCUUACCAAGGCUACGAUGUUUAGGGGAUCUGAGAGGAUGACCCCCCACACUGGUACUGAGACACGGACCACACUCCUACGGGAGGCAGCAGUAAGGAAUAUUGGUCAAUGGGCGCAAGCCUGAACCAGCCAUGCCGCGUGCAGGAAGACGGCCCUACGGGUUGUAAACUGCUUUUGUACCGGAAUAAACCCUUUUACGAGUAAGAGGCUGAAUGUACGGUAAGAAUAAGGAUCGGCUAACUCCGUGCCAGCAGCCGCGGUAAUACGGAGGAUCCAAGCGUUAUCCGGAUUUAUUGGGUUUAAAGGGUGCGUAGGCGGCCUAUUAAGUCAGGGGUGAAAGACGGUAGCUUAACUAUCGCAGUGCCUUUGAUACUGAUGGGCUUGAAUACACUUGAGGUAGGCGGAAUGUGACAAGUAGCGGUGAAAUGCAUAGAUAUGUCACAGAACACCAAUUGCGAAGGCAGCUUACUAAAGUGUGAUUGACGCUGAGGCACGAAAGCGUGGGGAUCAAACAGGAUUAGAUACCCUGGUAGUCCACGCCCUAAACGAUGAACACUCGAUGUUGGCGAUAUACGGUCAGCGUCUAAGCGAAAGCGUUAAGUGUUCCACCUGGGGAGUACGCCCGCAAGGGUGAAA
This 857-nucleotide ribosomal RNA is filed under the name bacterium 17Q. RNAcentral describes it as "bacterial SSU rRNA". It matches the Rfam family "Bacterial small subunit ribosomal RNA", at positions 40 to 899 of the family's 1533-position model. The record is from RNAcentral.